Molecule: ribosomal RNA, 253 nt
Filed under: uncultured bacterium
Lineage: Bacteria
Description: partial 16S ribosomal RNA
Rfam family: Bacterial small subunit ribosomal RNA
Source: RNAcentral
UACAGAGGGGGCAAGCGUUGUUCGGAAUUACUGGGCGUAAAGGGCGCGUAGGCGGCCUUCUAAGUCAGACGUGAAAUCCCUCGGCUCAACCGGGGAACUGCGUCUGAGACUGGAAGGCUUGAAUCCGGGAGAGGGAUGUGGAAUUCCAGGUGUAGCGGUGAAAUGCGUAGAUAUCGAGAGGAACACCUGCGGCGAAGGCGGGUAGCUGGGCCGACACUGACGCUGAGGCGCGAAAGCCAGGGGAGCGAACGGG